UUUUGAUAUAGCAACAGUGAUUAGUUCUACGAGAAGAUAGAAUGUAAGUUGUACAAAACUUUGUUCUCAUUAUUCCUAACAUCUGUAACUUGCCCUUAAUUUCUAAAAAAAAUCAAUUGCUCGCGUACCAACAUGCUUUUAUUUCAUGAGCAAAAUAGUUUGCCAUAUCAGAUAAUUGAAGCUUUUUUUUUCAAAGAUUACUCUCAGCUGUUAAAUAAUGCUGUACUUCUGAAAUGUUACCUGGAUAAUGAACAUCUGAUAGAGAGUUGGGAUACCUCUAGGAGUCAAACUUCUAGUGCCUUCUUGCUGUUUUCAAAGACAUACAAGGUGUUAAGCUUCGCAACUCAUUUUAUCUCCUGUCUCAUGUCCAGCAAAUGUUAUUGUGCUCAAAAUAUUUGAUUUUGUUGUCUUUGAUUUCCACUUGCAUUUACGUAGCAGCUUCCUUUUAUUUCCUUGAGAAGUCUUGAAUUGUAAUAGGAACUGGAAAUAUGGUUUCAGUAUUUUCCAUUCCUGGAGGUGUUCUUCUCCCAUUUUCUUUUUAUUUGGUGUGUGGGCCAGCUUACGCGCAUCUUGACUAAUUCCAUGGGAUACCUGCUACUUCCUAGCAGCAACAGGUACUAGGUAACUCUAUCCACAAGAUGAGCUCUGAGCUUGACUCUCUUAGUCUGUACAGGAACAAGGAAACAUUUCCGAUUCCCAGUAUUCAGCAUUUCUCUAGCAUUUUGGGCCGCCUCCUAUUUUCGGAACCUCAACUAUAGCCUUGUUUCGUUGGAUAUCUCGAUCGUUUUCACAUCUUCCCUUUGCUUCUCCAUGGUUAAUGAUUUUUUAGUGUUUUAUUAUGUUCUGUUUUGGUGGUCAUUUAGGGGCUUGGCAUACCAUGUUGUAGUUUAAUAGUUUUUGUAGUAGGUGCCUUUCUGAGAAAGCUUGGGCAGGAUUUUUGCCAGUAGCCAACGUGUUAUUUUAUCUGCUGUUUGAUCAAAAGUUAGUCAGCUUAUUUUGGAAAUUAUUUCAUGUCCUGAUCCCUAGUUUUUGGCAACGAAAAGUUCAACUUGGUUUCAUCUAUUUCCAUUUAUAUGUCAUAUGUAGCUCAAAGUCUCAGCAGCUUUUCGAUGAGGGUUGUUUGAGACGUGUAUGUAAUUUGUUUCCCUUUCUCCCGUUCUCUGUUUUAAGUCGAGCAUUGACAUAUUUAUGGUCUAUAAGUUUCCCCCAGGGGUGGCCUAGCGGUCGAUAGUUGAAGCAACAAGUCAACAACCUCGGAACCAACAUUUGAAUCCCAACUGAGGCAGCACUAGACGAGAUCUUACAUCUACCUAAGUCUUGGUAUGAUAUCCGGUACCUGUGUUGGUUGGAGAUAGUAGGUAUCUAGCGGAUUAAUCGAUACACACACAAGCUUGGCACAAACAC
Molecule: long non-coding RNA, 1404 nt
Filed under: Nicotiana tabacum (common tobacco)
Lineage: Eukaryota; Viridiplantae; Streptophyta; Magnoliopsida; Solanales; Solanaceae
Description: long non-coding RNA (NTAB_LNC015548)
Source: RNAcentral